Silurus meridionalis is the source of this 790-nucleotide long non-coding RNA. RefSeq lists it as uncharacterized. Lineage: Eukaryota; Metazoa; Chordata; Actinopteri; Siluriformes; Siluridae. The record is from RefSeq and is a predicted model, not a curated record. The transcript has 4 exons.
UCUCAGCAACCCUUCAGCUCUGGAGCCUGACAUCACUUCUCUAGUCACCUUUUUAUAAACAUACAUUCAACCAUUUAGUCUCUGUGGAUAAAAAACAUGACCUGAUGUGAGACAGUGGAAGGUCUGGAGGCAGAGAUAUAGCAUGAACAGAGAAACAGCAGGAUUGAGCCGGAUUGUUAGAGGAGAAAUAACAGGAGAAGCCAAGCCUGCAGAGUGGAGGAGUGGAUGUGCUGGGUGAAACAUGGUGGAAGAUGAUUGACGUAAAGCGACAGGCAGCAAGAACGUCACACCCUUCACCUGCGAAAGCCUGACGGAUUAGACAGGAAUACAGUGCAUGAUGGACCAUCAGAGUCCUGAUGCUUGAACAUGAGAAGAAAACCAGUGCCGGUGAAACAUUCACCCAGUUUCACUCCACAUCUCCACUUUAUCUGAAUACUCCAUUCUGAUUUGCUGAAAUGUUGGAGUUCCUUGUGAGUGCCUUGUAAACAGCUGGACUACAUUGUUGGCAGGUGACUACACAAUUUUGAUAGAUACUGACCACUGGAGACCAGGAACAUCCCACAAGAGCUGCAGUGUUGGAGAUGCUCUGACCCAGUCGUCACAGUUUGGCCCUCAUCAAACUCCCUCAAAUCCUUACGCUCACCCAUUUCCCCUGCUUUUGACACGUCAACUUUGAGGACAAAAUGUUAAUUUGCUGCCUAAUAAAUCCACCCACUAAUAGGUGCCAUGAUAAAGAGGUUAUUUACUUUACCUGUCAUAAUUUAUUAUGCCUGGUUGGUGUAUAAACUUU